This 211-nucleotide ribosomal RNA is filed under the name Buresium naso. RNAcentral describes it as "partial 28S ribosomal RNA". It matches the Rfam family "Eukaryotic large subunit ribosomal RNA", at positions 967 to 1163 of the family's 3401-position model. The record is from RNAcentral. Lineage: Eukaryota; Metazoa; Arthropoda; Insecta; Hymenoptera; Eurytomidae.
UUUCCCUCAGGAUAGCUGGCACUCGCUUGAGCGAGUCUCAUCUGGUAAAGCGAAUGAUUAGAGGCCUUGGGGCCGAAACGACCUCAACCUAUUCUCAAACUUUAAAUGGGUGAGAUCUCUGGCUUGCUUGAACAUUGAAGCCACGAGAUUAUUGCAAUGGAUCAGAGUGCCAAGUGGGCCAAUUUUGGUAAGCAGAACUGGCGCUGUGGGA